RNAcentral lists this ribosomal RNA (496 nucleotides) under uncultured bacterium. Its description in RNAcentral is "partial 16S ribosomal RNA". It matches the Rfam family "Bacterial small subunit ribosomal RNA", at positions 28 to 506 of the family's 1533-position model. The record is from RNAcentral.
GAUGAACGCUGGCGGCGUGCCUAAUACAUGCAAGUCGAGCGAACGGACGAGACGCUUGCUUCUCUGAUGUUAGCGGCGGACGGGUGAGUAACACGUGGAUAACCUACCUAUAAGACUGGGAUAACUUCGGGAAACCGGAGCUAAUACCGGAUAAUAUUUUGAACCGCAUGGUUCAAAAGUGAAAGACGGUCUUGCUGUCACUUAUAGAUGGAUCCGCGCUGCAUUAGCUAGGUGGUAAGGUAACGGCUUACCAAGGUAACGAUGCAUAGCCGACCUGAGAGGGUGAUCGGCCACACGGGAGCUGGGACACGGUCCAGACGCGAACGGGAGGCAGCAGUAGGGAAUCGUCCGCGAUGGGCGAAAGCCUGACGGAGCAACGGCGCGAGAGUGAUGAAGGUCGUCGGAGCGGAAAGCUCUGUUAUUAGGGAAGAACAUAUGUGUAAGUAACUGUGCACAGCUGGACGGUACCGAAGCAGAAAGCCACGGCUACCAACUU